UUUUUUUUUUUCCUCAGAAAACACAAGACAAGGACACUUAAAUUCAAAUCAACACUUAACAGCUUUUUACAUUAUUUGUAGAUAACCGUUGGGACUUAGUGCCACGGGAUACAAUAUUAGAAACAGUUUUGUGGGAAUAAAAGUCACCAGUCUGAUGCAGGCCCAGAGUCCAGGGGCUCAUCGGAAGUUGCUGGUCUUGACUGGGUGGAGAGUUGGAUGGUCAGAAUUUCAGGAAAUAGAUGGUGGUAUCCAGUGAGUUUAUAAGGUUGUCCUCCCAAAGGCCCAGAGCACAAGAAUGCUGUACAUAAAUCCUUAGACGAUGCUAAAGACACAUGUCCAGGGUGCAUGGAUAAUGACCUAAUUCACAGUUUCAGAAGUACCAGUGGCACGGCACGAAUUUCCCUUCCUACCCCGCACCCAGCCCGUCAAGUCUCUGCCUUGAGGCGAGCAGCCUGGAUGGUUUUUAUGGUUUUUGCUGUAGGUUUCCCAGCCGGGUUGAUUGUAGAUAGCUGAGACUUUUCUUCAAUCAAGCUGUCUUUAGACCCAUUUCUCCUCUAGGAAAAAAAAAAAAAAAAACUCAUAGCAGUCAUAAGAAAAUAACCAAAUCAAGUACUUAGAAAUAACAGAAGCUGGGCAUAGAGGGACACACUUGUUACCCCAGGAAGAGCCAAUCCAGCCUGAGCUACAUGGUGUGACCACCCUAAAAUGUAUUCAUUUAUGACACUGCAUGUGGUAAUUACUCGGAGAAAACUAAUACUGUGUGAGAGCCCUCUAGUUAACUGCAAAACCAAAUGUGCCUAAUCUUGGCCUGAUAAUUGGGUACACAUCAGUUCUCAUAAAAAUUGGACAUAAUUUACCUUCAUAGCAUUACUUAAGAGACUUUCCUUAAGGCUUUUUCUUCUAAAGACCAGAGAGGAAACUAAACGCCUCCCCUGGUUUUAUUCUGGGGAGCCACCCUAUGAAAUGGUUCAUGUGCAGUGUGAUAGCAUGGAGUUUCUGUCAUCUGGGACAUGUCACUGCCUACCUGACCUGUACACCAGGAGUCCUGGAGUUGGGACUUGUCUGAUGGAAACACUGAGAACACCACCCACAGGGCCUCACAACAGCUGCCCAGACCUCCCAGGGAUGACCGAGGUUGCUAUGGCUUCAUAUGUAUAAACAUAUCUGAGAAUAAGGACUUGCUACUGCAUCCAAAGGGAUUCCUGUAAGCACAAGAUGUUUCUAAAAAGUCUCAUAGGCUACUUACCUAUGGCACACACCUUUGACCCCAGCACGAGGGAGGCAGAGGCAGACAGAUUCUGUGAGUUCAGGAUCUGCCUGAUCAACAACAAAGGGGAAGGUUCCAGGCCAGACAGGCUUACAAAGUGAGACCCUACCUCACUAAAAAUUAACUUUUUUUUUUUUUAAUGGCAUCUGUUGGGCUGGCAAGAUGGCUCAGUGGGCAAAAGCCUUGUAGCUCGUUCCUCACUACCUGAGUUCAAACCCCAGAGCCCAUGUAAAACAGUCCUGAAAACAGUUCUCAGACCACACAGGCCAUGCCCAUACAUGACGCACACGCAUGAUCAAUAAGAUGCCUUAAACCUUUACUAACCUGAUGAACUGUCGAGCCUCCAGACCCCUGAGCAUCUGAGGAACGGGUGACCGGAAGUGGUGGUACAAGAUCUGUCUUUGAGCUGCCAAAGAGAAAAGGUCAGAGUUUAUGAACAAGACAGAACUCAGGUCUUAUGCGCCUCUGGGGCAGGCUGUGUGGUCUGGGGGCACAGGACCGACUCACUUCACUUCCGAGAGAACGGAUCGUUCUCCGUCUGAACACUGGGAUCUUCGGUACUGCCGGUAACUCCGCGGGGAAUGAGAAUGCCGGAUGCGGACCGGGUCACCCUGAGUCCUGCGAGGAAGCCAGACAAAGCAAGGAGACAAACACAGUCAAAACCGCACCACGAUACGCAGUUUUCCUGAUGCUAAACUGUAAGCAAAACUUUCAGACUGCUUUUAACUUGACUCUCAGGUUUACUUUGUAAGGUGUCUUUUUGUUUUUAUACAGGGUCUCGUGAAGUCCAGGCUGGCUUCAGACUGAAGAUGACUUAAAACUCCUGACCCUCAAGUUCCACAUCGCACACUGAAUUAAAAGCAUGUUCCUCCGCACCUAGCUCAGACGGGGUUGGGUUGUUUUUUUUGUUUGUUUGUUUGUUUUUUUUGGGGGGGGGUGUUUUUGUUUGUUUGUUUUUGUUUUGUUUUUAAGAACUUAAUUUUUAUGAUCUCUGAAAGCAGUAAAUUUCACAGCAUUUU
Molecule: long non-coding RNA, 2286 nt
Filed under: Mus musculus (house mouse)
Lineage: Eukaryota; Metazoa; Chordata; Mammalia; Rodentia; Muridae
Description: long non-coding RNA chr18:33796916-33799202
Source: RNAcentral